UUUGAAGCACAGAACAAGUCUUCAUCAGACACAGAAUUUGCUGGCACCUGGAUUUUGGACUUUCCAGUCUUAUGAACUGAUUAGCUCAAAUUCUUCUUGGAAGGGCUUGCAAGGUUUGCAGGAGGGUGCACAGUCGAUCUGGGGAGAGAAGUAAACACAAGCAAUGAAGAUAGUGGAGUGGCCUGGACGGGAAGCUUCUUUUACAAAGGAAGGAUGACAAGAGCCCACAGUUCUUAUUGUGUAGGUAAAAUGAGCCAGGGGCCAUGCCAACCGCAUCACAUGGAUUAUCACCUUGGAUUUUAACAGUAAGCCAAAGUAACAGGGAACCGUUGAAUGGCUCUAAGAAGAGGAACAACAUGAUUUGACUUAGGUUUUUGAGGGAUCUCUCCAGCUACAGAUUGAAGAAUGAUUGUAAAGAGGGUGAGUGGAAACAGGAGGCCUGGUUCAUCCUCUCAACUCUCUAUUUGUGUCCAGUCAAAAUUCGCAAUGCCAACACAAUAGUUUCUAGUCCCAUGAUCCACUGAGAAAAACAUGGAUUCUUUAAAAGUAAGUGGCAAAGUACCCCUGAUUUUGAAACAUGUAUGGUCGUGAUAUCAAGAGUGACAACCUGGGCAAAAGAGAGCCAUUGCAAAGAAGAAAGGCCUUUAGGGAAAUGGAGCAGAAAGAGGAAGCAGUCAUCACACUUUAUAGAAACUUUGUCAUCUUUGAAGAGUCUGAAAGUCUCUGUUUACCCUGCUUCUCCAGCCUGAGUUCCUUUUUUUUCUCCAUUCUGCUUGUUGAACUCCUGCCAAACUCCGAUUUUGACAUCAAAGCCCACCUUGAAUGCUGCUUGUCGCUAAAGCCAUCGCUGGCAUUUCCAGACAUUGUCAAUAUCUACUGGACUAAAGAAAUUCUCUACUAAUCAGAAAAGGAAUUGGUCUGUAUUGAAGCUGGAAAGAAAAUCAGAGGAGCCAAUGCUGUCAGAGUGCAUCCAAGGACCAUUUAAAGAUGUCCUGGCCGGAGGUCUGGGCUGUCAGGUCCUGCCAGCAGAAUGAAGAGGACAUGGAGGCAUUUUCAGAUGAAGAGAAACUAACAGGAUUUUUCAGCAGACUUACUCUAAAUGAAUGGCUACAGGAAAUACUAUAAAAAUAAAGGAAAUGAUAAAAGAAGAAACUUUGUAACAUCAAGAAAGAAGG
RNAcentral lists this long non-coding RNA (1175 nucleotides) under Homo sapiens (human). RNAcentral's name for it is "HSALNT0359818". Lineage: Eukaryota; Metazoa; Chordata; Mammalia; Primates; Hominidae. The record is from RNAcentral.